Molecule: transfer RNA, 67 nt
Filed under: Encyrtus sasakii
Lineage: Eukaryota; Metazoa; Arthropoda; Insecta; Hymenoptera; Encyrtidae
Description: tRNA-Asp
Source: RNAcentral
AAAAAAUUAGUUAAAUUUAUAAUAUAAAUAUGUCAUAUUUAAGUAAUUAGAGUAAUAAUAUUUUUUG